This 558-nucleotide ribosomal RNA is filed under the name uncultured bacterium. Its description in RNAcentral is "partial 16S ribosomal RNA". It matches the Rfam family "Bacterial small subunit ribosomal RNA", at positions 355 to 905 of the family's 1533-position model. The record is from RNAcentral.
UGGGGAAUUUUGGACAAUGGGGGCAACCCUGAUCCAGCAAUGCCGCGUGUGUGAAGAAGGCCUUCGGGUUGUAAAGCACUUUUGUCCGGAAAGAAAACGCCGUGGUUAAUACCCGUGGCGGAUGACGGUACCGGAAGAAUAAGCACCGGCUAACUACGUGCCAGCAGCCGCGGUAAUACGUAGGGUGCAAGCGUUAAUCGGAAUUACUGGGCGUAAAGCGUGCGCAGGCGGUCCGCUAAGACAGAUGUGAAAUCCCCGGGCUUAACCUGGGAACUGCAUUUGUGACUGGCGGGCUAGAGUAUGGCAGAGGGGGGUAGAAUUCCACGUGUAGCAGUGAAAUGCGUAGAGAUGUGGAGGAAUACCGAUGGCGAAGGCAGCCCCCUGGGCCAAUACUGACGCUCAUGCACGAAAGCGUGGGGGAGCAAACAGGAUUAGAUACCCUGGUAGUCCACGCCCUAAACGAUGUCAACUAGUUGUCGGGUCUUCAUUGACUUGGUAACGUAGCUAACGCGUGAAGUUGACCGCCUGGGGAGUACGGUCGCAAGAUUAAAACUUAAA